Molecule: ribosomal RNA, 459 nt
Filed under: uncultured bacterium
Lineage: Bacteria
Description: partial 16S ribosomal RNA
Rfam family: Bacterial small subunit ribosomal RNA
Source: RNAcentral
CCUACGGGUGGCAGCAGUGAGGAAUAUUGGUCAAUGGGCGGGAGCCUGAACCAGCCAAGCCGCGUGAAGGAAGAAGGUACUUAGUAUUGUAAACUUCUUUUGUCGGGGAACAAAGGCGGAGACGCGUCUCCGGAUGAGUGUACCCGAAGAACAAGCAUCGGCUAACUCCGUGCCAGCAGCCGCGGUAAAACGGGGGAUACGAGCGUUAUCCGGAUUGAUUGGGUUAAAAGGGUGCGCAGGCGGGAGAUCAAGUCAGCGGUAAAAUGUCGGGGCUUAACCCCGGCCGGCCGUUGAAACUGGUUGUCUAGAGUCGGAGAGAAGUAGGUGGAAUUCGAGGUGUAGCGGUGAAAUGCAUAGAGAUCACGAAGAACUCCGAUGGCGAAGGCAGCAUACCGGCUCCAUACUGACGCUGAGGCACGAAAGCGUGGGGAUCGAACAGGAUUAGAUACCCCAGUAGUC